GUGGGGAAUUUUGGACAAUGGGCGAAAGCCUGAUCCAGCCAUGCCGCGUGCAGGAUGAAGGCCUUCGGGUUGUAAACUGCUUUUGUACGGAACGAAAAGACUCCUUCUAAUAAAGGGGGUCCAUGACGGUACCGUAAGAAUAAGCACCGGCUAACUACGUGCCAGCAGCCGCGGUAAUACGUAGGGUGCAAGCGUUAAUCGGAAUUACUGGGCGUAAAGCGUGCGCAGGCGGUUAUAUAAGACAGAUGUGAAAUCCCCGGGCUCAACCUGGGAACUGCAUUUGUGACUGUAUAGCUAGAGUACGGUAGAGGGGGAUGGAAUUCCGCGUGUAGCAGUGAAAUGCGUAGAUAUGCGGAGGAACACCGAUGGCGAAGGCAAUCCCCUGGACCUGUACUGACGCUGAGGUACGAAAGCAUGGGGAGCAAACAGGAUUAGAAACCCCGGUAGUCC
Molecule: ribosomal RNA, 450 nt
Filed under: uncultured bacterium
Lineage: Bacteria
Description: bacterial SSU rRNA
Rfam family: Bacterial small subunit ribosomal RNA
Source: RNAcentral